AACGUCGUGAGACAGUUUGGUCCAUAUCCGGUAUAGGCGUUCGAACAUUGCGGAUAUUUAUUUUUAGUACGAGAGGACCGAAAUAAACAGACCGCUGGUGUAUCAAUUAUUAUACCAAUAGUAAAUGUUGAGUAGCUAAGUCUGAUAAAAUAAUUACUGAAAGCAUAUAAGUAAGAAAUUUUUUCCAAGAUUAUUGUUCGUAUUUAAUUUUUAGACACUGGUAAGACUA
Molecule: ribosomal RNA, 229 nt
Filed under: Pteridomonas danica
Lineage: Eukaryota; Dictyochophyceae; Pedinellales
Description: partial Bacterial large subunit ribosomal RNA
Rfam family: Bacterial large subunit ribosomal RNA
Source: RNAcentral